AUUGAACGCUGGCGGAAUGCUAUACACAUGCAAGUCGAACGGCAGCACGGACUUCGGUCUGGUGGCGAGUGGCGAACGGGUGAGUAAUGUAUCGGAACGUGCCCAGUCGUGGGGGAUAACGUAGUGAAAAUUACGCUAAUACCGCAUACGAUCUAUGGAUGAAAGCGGGGGAUCGCAAGACCUUGCGCGAUUGGAGCGGCCGAUAUCAGAUUAGGUAGUUGGUGGGGUAAAGGCCCACCAAGCCAACGAUCUGUAGCUGGUCUGAGAGGACGACCAGCCACACUGGAACUGAGACACGGUCCAGACUCCUACGGGAGGCAGCGGUGGGGAAUUUUGGACAAUGGGCGAAAGCCUGAUCCAGCCAUUCCGCGUGCAGGAUGAAGGCCCUCGGGUUGUAAACUGCUUUUGUACAGAACGAAAAGGUUUCUACUAAUACUAGGAGCUCAUGACGGUACUGUAAGAAUAAGCACCGGCUAACUACGUGCCAGCAGCCGCCGUAA
RNAcentral lists this ribosomal RNA (500 nucleotides) under uncultured bacterium. RNAcentral's name for it is "partial 16S ribosomal RNA". It matches the Rfam family "Bacterial small subunit ribosomal RNA", at positions 30 to 523 of the family's 1533-position model. The record is from RNAcentral.